GCCCCUGUAGCUCAGUGGGAGAGCGCCUGCCUUACAAGCAGGAUGCCGGGAGUUCAAUUCUCUCCAGGGGCA
RNAcentral lists this transfer RNA (72 nucleotides) under Mycobacterium avium. Its description in RNAcentral is "tRNA-Val". It matches the Rfam family "tRNA". From Rfam's summary of the family: Transfer RNA (tRNA) molecules are approximately 80 nucleotides in length. The record is from RNAcentral. RNAcentral also lists the same sequence under 5 other names. Lineage: Bacteria; Bacillati; Actinomycetota; Actinomycetes; Mycobacteriales; Mycobacteriaceae.